CAGUCGCCGCGGUAAUACGUAGGUGGCAAGCGUUAUCCGGAAUUAUUGGGCGUAAAGCGCGCGUAGGCGGUUUUUUAAGUCUGAUGUGAAAGCCCACGGCUCAACCGUGGAGGGUCAUUGGAAACUGGAAAACUUGAGUGCAGAAGAGGAAAGUGGAAUUCCAUGUGUAGCGGUGAAAUGCGCAGAGAUAUGGAGGAACACCAGUGGCGAAAGCGACUUUCUGGUCUGUAACUGACGCUGAUGUGCGAAAGCGUGGGGAGCGAACAGGAUUAGAGACCCCGGUAGUCCCUGUCUCUUAUAC
Molecule: ribosomal RNA, 301 nt
Filed under: uncultured bacterium
Lineage: Bacteria
Description: partial 16S ribosomal RNA
Rfam family: Bacterial small subunit ribosomal RNA
Source: RNAcentral